GUGUCAAAUGUUCUUUAGGAUUUUACUUUGUUCUAAAUUACUUUUUCAUAUUUUAUCAAUUUGUAAUUUUAAUUAAUACCCAUUCUUCUCCUCCUUUUUGUCACUAUCAAAAAGAUAGAUAUUGUCAAACAUUCAUAAAGGAGACAUUGCACAUAUAAAGAAAAAUAAACUUCAAGUUUCAUUCAUUCAUUUAAGAAGAUACAACAUACAAUAAUCUCAAAAAGAAACUUGAUUAUAACAUAAGACAUUGAUAAACAAAAAGCUCAAAAUGAUAAUGCAAUUGCAUGCAACCUAAUCCAAGCUAGAAUCGAGAGGGGCGGAGGAAGCUGGAUCCAUGUGUACAAAAGAAUACUGUUUGGUAAAGGCCUCUCUCACAGCAUUCUUCACCAGUGAAGAAAGACAAUCGAAAAUCCAAUCUAAUACAUGCUGCACGAUCUCUUCUACCUGAUCCUUAUCAAUUCGAAUAGUGGAUGAAGAUGUAGCAAGUGCUGGAUGCUCUAGCAGGUCUGGCUGAACUGUAGGAUCUACAGGAUGUGGUACGGGCUCCGACACACCUCAACUUUCUCUUCCUCACCUUCUCUGACCCACUGUCCUUCAAUCUUUAAGAAUCCCAUCCUCUUCAUUGACUUCUCAUUGUAUAUAUCAUAAUGUUGAAGUAUCUUGCAUAACUCUCCUACCACACCAAC
This 686-nucleotide long non-coding RNA is filed under the name Elaeis guineensis (African oil palm). RNAcentral's name for it is "long non-coding RNA (EGUI_LNC016557)". Lineage: Eukaryota; Viridiplantae; Streptophyta; Magnoliopsida; Arecales; Arecaceae. The record is from RNAcentral.